RNAcentral lists this ribosomal RNA (532 nucleotides) under Cryptorhynchinae gen. sp. ARC4851. RNAcentral describes it as "SSU rRNA". It matches the Rfam family "Eukaryotic small subunit ribosomal RNA", at positions 66 to 581 of the family's 1831-position model. The record is from RNAcentral. Lineage: Eukaryota; Metazoa; Arthropoda; Insecta; Coleoptera; Curculionidae.
CAAGCCAAAUUAAGGUGAAACCGCGAAAGGCUCAUUAAAUCAGUUANGGUUCUUAGAUCGUACCCACAAUUACUUGGAUAACUGUGGUAAUUCUAGAGCUAAUACAUGCAAACAGAGCUCCGACCGGAGACGGAAGGAGUGCUUUUAUUAGAUCAAAACCAAUCGUUGGCGGGCUCGUCAUCGUACAACUUGGUGACUCUGAAUAACUUUACGCUGAUCGCACGGUCAUCGCACCGGCGACGCAUCUUUCAAAUGUCUGCCUUAUCAACUGUCGAUGGUAGGUUCUGCGCCUACCAUGGUUGUAACGGGUAACGGGGAAUCAGGGUUCGAUUCCGGAGAGGGAGCCUGAGAAACGGCUACCACAUCCAAGGAAGGCAGCAGGCGCGCAAAUUACCCACUCCCGGCACGGGGAGGUAGUGACGAAAAAUAACGAUACGGGACUCAUCCGAGGCCCCGUAAUCGGAAUGAGUACACUCUAAACCCUUUAACGAGGAUCAAUUGGAGGGCAAGUCUGGUGCCAGCAGCCGCGGUA